RNAcentral lists this ribosomal RNA (440 nucleotides) under uncultured bacterium. RNAcentral's name for it is "partial 16S ribosomal RNA". It matches the Rfam family "Bacterial small subunit ribosomal RNA", at positions 338 to 795 of the family's 1533-position model. The record is from RNAcentral.
CCUACGGGAGGCAGCAGUGGGGAAUAUUGCACAAUGGGGGAAACCCUGAUGCAGCGACGCCGCGUGAGUGAAGAAGUACUUCGUUAUGUAAAGCUCUAUCAGCAGGGAAGAAAAUGACGGUACUUGCGUAAUAACCCCCGGCCAAUUCCGUGCCAGCAGCCGCGGGAAUACGUAGGGGGCAAGCGGUAUCCGGAUUUACUGGGUGGAAAGGGAGCGUAGACGGCAGUGCAAGUCUGGGGUGAAAGGCGGGGGCUCAACCCCCGGACUGCUCUGGAAACUGCACGGCUGGAGUGCAGGAGAGGUAAGUGGAAUUCCUAGUGUAGCGGUGAAAUGCGUAGAUAUUAGGAGGAACACCAGUGGCGAAGGCGGCUUACUGGACUGUAACUGACGUUGAGGCUCGAAAGCGUGGGGAGCAAACAGGAUUAGAUACCCCGGUAGUC